CCUACGGGGGGCAGCAGUGAGGAAUAUUGGUCAAUGGACGAGAGUCUGAACCAGCCAAGUAGCGUGAAGGAUGACUGCCCUAUGGGGUGUAAACUUCGUUUAUAUGGGAAUAAAAUGUUCCACGUGUGGGAUUUUGUAUGUACCAUAUGAAUAAGGAUCGGCUAACUCCGUGCCAGCAGCCGCGGUAAUACGGAGGAUCCGAGCGUUAUCCGUAUGUAUUGGGUUUAAAGGGAGCGUAGGUGGAUUGUUAAGUCAGUUGUGAAAGUUUGCGGCUCAACCGUAAAAUUGCAGUUGAAACUGGCAGUCUUGAGUACAGUAGAGGUGGGCGGAAUUCGUGGUGUAGCGGUGGAAUGCUUAGAUAUCACGAAGAACUCCGAUUGCGAAGGCAGCUCACUGGACUGCAACUGACACUGAGGCUCGAAAGUGUGGGUAUCAAACAGGAUUAGAUACCCUUGUAGUC
Molecule: ribosomal RNA, 460 nt
Filed under: uncultured bacterium
Lineage: Bacteria
Description: partial 16S ribosomal RNA
Rfam family: Bacterial small subunit ribosomal RNA
Source: RNAcentral